Molecule: ribosomal RNA, 497 nt
Filed under: uncultured bacterium
Lineage: Bacteria
Description: partial 16S ribosomal RNA
Rfam family: Bacterial small subunit ribosomal RNA
Source: RNAcentral
UCUUCCCUCUGGCGGCGUGCCUAAUACAUGCAAGUCGAGCGAACGGACGAGAAGCUUGCUUCUCUGAUGUUAGCGGCGGACGGGUGAGUAACACGUGGAUAACCUACCUAUAAGACUGGGAUAACUUCGGGAAACCGGAGCUAAUACCGGAUAUUAUUUUGAACCGCAUGGUUCAAAAGUGAAAGACGGUCUUGCUGUCACUUAUAGAUGGAUCCGCGCUGCAUUAGCUAGUUGGUAAGGUAACGGCUUACCAAGGCAACGAUGCAUAGCCGACCUGAGAGGGUGAUCGGCCACACUGGAACUGAGACACGGUCCAGACUCCUACGGGAGGCAGCAGUAGGGAAUCUUCCGCAAUGGGCGAAAGCCUGACGGAGCAACGCCGCGUGAGUGAUGAAGGUCUUCGGAUCGUAAAACUCUGUUAUUAGGGAAGAACAUAUGUGUAAGUAACUGUGCACAUCUUGACGGUACCUAAUCAGAAAGCCACGGCUAACUACGUG